CAAGUCGAACGAGAAAGUGGAGCAAUCCAUGAGUAAAGUGGCGACCGGGUGAGUAACACGUGACUAACCUACCCUCGAGUGGGGAAUAACCCCGGGAAACCGGGGCUAAUACCGCAUAACACCGCAAGGUCAAAGGAGCAAUUCGCUUGAGGAGGGGGUCACGGCUGAUUAGCUAGUUGGUGAGGUAAUGGCUCACCAAGGCAAAGAUCAGUAUCCGGCCUGAGAGGGCGCACGGACACACUGGAACUGAAACACGGUCCAGACUCCUACGGGAGGCAGCAGUGGGGAAUUUUGCGCAAUGGGGGAAACCCUGACGCAGCAACGCCGCGUGGAGGAUGAAGUCCCUUGGGAUGUAAACUCCUUUCGAUCGGGACGAUUAUGACGGUACCGGAAGAAGAAGCACCGGCUAACUCUGUGCCAGCAGCCGCGGUAAUACAGAGGGUGCAAGCGUUGUUCGGAAUUAUUGGGCGUAAAGGGCGCGUAGGCGGUGCGGUAAGUCUGUAGUGAAAUCUCUGGGCUCAACUCAGAGUCUGCUAUAGAAACUGCCGUGCUUGAGUGUGGGAGAGGUGAGUGGAAUUCCCGGUGUAGCGGUGAAAUGCGUAGAUAUCGGGAGGAACACCUGUGGCGAAAGCGGCUCACUGGACCACAACUGACGCUGAGGCGCGAAAGCUAGGGGAGCAAACAGGAUUAGAUACCCUGGUAGUCCUAGCCCUAAACGAUGAUCGCUUGGUGUAUUGGGUACCCAAUCCCAAUGUGCCGGAGCUAACGCGUUAAGCGAUCCGCCUGGGGAGUACGGUCGCAAGACUGAAACUCAAAGGAAUUGACGGGGGCCCGCACAAGCGGUGGA
Molecule: ribosomal RNA, 847 nt
Filed under: uncultured Terriglobales bacterium
Lineage: Bacteria; Pseudomonadati; Acidobacteriota; Terriglobia; Terriglobales
Description: bacterial SSU rRNA
Rfam family: Bacterial small subunit ribosomal RNA
Source: RNAcentral